Odocoileus virginianus texanus is the source of this 431-nucleotide non-coding RNA. The record is from RefSeq and is a predicted model, not a curated record. NCBI's taxonomy places the organism in Eukaryota, Metazoa, Chordata, Mammalia, Artiodactyla, Cervidae.
CAGUGGCGCAGUGGAUAACGCAUAUGACUACGGAUCUGAAAGGGAAUGAUCAAAAGGUUGGACACUGUUAUCUCUGAAGGAUUAUAGGUCACACUGCCUGAGAGAGGGCCCGCCAUGGAGGAGUGCAGCAGACAGCCCAGGAGAGAGCUCACGGAAAUGCAGAUGCUGGGCCCUCCUCCUGGCCCACUCCCACUCGGGACAUCUAAGUGAUGGGCCUUUAUCACAAGUUCCCCCCAGGAGAGUCUGAUGCACACCAGUCUGGAAAGAAGUCUUCAAGGACAUCAGUUCAGCAACCCAGGGAAAAACAGAGAAGAAGGAAGGACCCAGCAAGCUCCUGGAGACGGACUAAAAACAGCAGCCUCUGAGCGCCAGCCCAGGGAGACCACCCCAAGUGCUGGACCCAGCGUAGGGCAGGGGUCUCCAACCUCUAG